UGUGUUAGCCAGGAUGGUCUCGAUCUCCUGACCUCAUGAUCCACCCGCCUCUGCCUCCCAAAGUGCUGGGAUUGCAGGCACGAGCCACCACGCCCCGCUGUGUUUUUCAUUUUUAAAAAAUUGUCUGCCAGAUACAGUAGUAGGUGUAACCUGAACCAUUUGAUGGGGCGUGUUUCCGGAGAGCGGGGGAGAACAUGGGUGUCAGUCCUGGCUCACUCCCUUCGGCCGCCAUCCCUCUGAAAGGGGCCACUAGAUAAAUUUUAAUUGCUUGCCAAAAUCUGGGGCAACUUGCUUCUCGGCCUUCAAAAAUAAGCAGUGAGGCUGGAUGCAGUGGCUCAACUGUAAUCCCAACACUUUGGGUGGCCAAGGUGGGUGGAUCACUUGAGGUCAGGAGUUCGAGACCAGCCUGGCCAACAUGGUGAAACCCUGUCUCUACUACAAAAAUUAGCCGGUCGUGGUGGGACGUGCCUGUAAUCCCAGCUACCUGGGAGGCUGAGGCAGGAGAAUCACUUGCACCCAGGAGGCAAAAGCUGCAGUGAGCAGAGAUCGAUUGCACGUCUGCACUCCAGACUGGGUGACAGAGCAAGACUCCAUUUCAAAAAAUAAAAAUAAGCAGUGAGAUUUCGCCCAGAACCCCAGAGGCCAGGCCCCAGGUCAUUCUGUUGCCUCACUGGCCCACAGAGCCCUUGGGCCCAGCUUCUGCCUCUGGUCCUGAGAUGUCGCCUCUCACCCCCCUGUCUCUGCAGCUGAGACGGGAGAGGCAGAGGCAGAGCGUUUGCCUGCCACUGACAUGAAGGGCUGCUCCAAGGGGAAGGCGUUCUGGAUCUUCAGAACCUCUCUGGGGCAGGACAGCGCCACCCCCCGACCCUAAGUGGAGGCUGCUGCAGUUUUCAAACAUGGAUUUCUUAAAGCAACUUGAAAAACAAAUUCCAUGGUUUUUUUUUGCUUUUUGUUUUUUUUCUUUUACUAUCAGGUAGAAUUUGUGUUUCUGGAAAAGGUACACACAGAUCUUGGGCUUACUUGAAAGCUGGAGGUAACAGCCACCUCUUGCUCUCUGACUCCUUUUUCCCCUGAGAAAGAAGAGAGAAGACAAGUCCAAAUGUCUGUGCUUUGUGGGGGACUUCAAGGGAAUUUGAUCAAGCGUUUCCUGAAACAGGGUCGACCCUCUGGUCUUCAGGUUCCAGCAGCCUCCCCGCUUCCUGCCCUUCUGCCUUCUGUUACACAGUGCCCCCUCCACGCCGCACUCACACUCGCUGCCAGAGUCUCACGGCCGCCCCUCUCCAGGCCUCACUCCCUGGUGCUCCUGAGACCACACCCCUCACAAACUGUACUUGCUCAAGUCACAGGCUGCUGCAGCUUUGUUGUUGUGUCGGAAUCUCUAGGGCAUCUGACACCUUCCGGGACCAUUCUCUCCAGGAGCUCUUCUCUCCGCUCCCCACUGCACUCCUCUCAGGCUUCCUCAUGCUCUCCCCCAGCCCCAGCCUCACCCCUCCUCUAGGGAGCACAGCCGUUUCUUAGCCUCACCCAUCCUGGGUCCCUGGUACCUGCCAGGUAUCUCUGUAGCCCAGAUCUUUCUCUUGCCCCAGACCCCAGCUGCCUAGGGGCAGCCUCACAGCGGCUGCUACAGCAAUCUACCACAUAGUUACCGCCUUAAGCAGCACAAAUUUCUCUUACGGUUCUGGAGGCCAGAGGUCCAAAGUGGCUCUCCCUAGUCUACAGAUCAGGUGUCAGCAGGCUCCUCCUGGAAGACCUAGAUGAGAAUCCAUGUCUUGCCUUUUGCAUCUUCUAGAGGCCGCCUGCAAUCUUUAACUCACGGCCCCUCCCUCCAUCUUCAGGUCCACAGACGAGCAUCUUCCCAUCUGUCUGACUGAUUCUCCUGCUUCUCUCUUACAAAAACUCUUGUGACUGCAUUGGGCUACCUGGAUAACCCAGGAUCCUCUUCCCAUCUCAGCAUCCUUAAUUUAAACACAUCUGCAGAAUUUCUUUGCCAUGUAAGGGAACAUAUUCACAGAUCCCAGGGAUUAGGACAUGGGUACUGCCAGGCAUGCAAGCCACACCUCACAUUCAGCCUCCCUGCAGUCUGAGCCGCGUUCCAUGCCUGACACCACCGUCUAGUCAGUUGCCCAAGCCACAAACCCUCCUUCCUCUCCCCACUGUCACUCUCUUCCGUCAAUUAAAACUGAGCCCUGGGCCAGGUGCAGUGGCUUUCAUCUGUAAUCCCCGCCCUUUGGGAGGCUGAGGGGGGAGGAUCACUUGAACCCAGGAGUUUUAAGGCCAGCCUGGCCAACAUAGGGAAACCUCAUCUCUAAAAAAAAAAAAAA
Long non-coding RNA from Macaca fascicularis (crab-eating macaque), 2321 nucleotides. The record is from Ensembl. Lineage: Eukaryota; Metazoa; Chordata; Mammalia; Primates; Cercopithecidae.